RNAcentral lists this ribosomal RNA (301 nucleotides) under uncultured bacterium. RNAcentral describes it as "partial 16S ribosomal RNA". It matches the Rfam family "Bacterial small subunit ribosomal RNA", at positions 509 to 807 of the family's 1533-position model. The record is from RNAcentral.
CAGCCGCCGCGGUAAUACGAAGGGGGCUAGCGUUGUUCGGAAUUACUGGGCGUAAAGCGUACGUAGGCGGAUUGUUAAGUGAGGGGUGAAAUCCCGAGGCUCAACCUCGGAACUGCCUUUCAUACUGGCAAUCUUGAGUCCGGGAGAGGUGAGUGGAACUCCUAGUGUAGAGGUGAAAUUCGUAGAUAUUAGGAAGAACACCAGUGGCGAAGGCGGCUCACUGGCCCGGAACUGACGCUGAGGUACGAAAGCGUGGGGAGCAAACAGGAUUAGAUACCCCAGUAGUCCAUGUCUCUUAUAC